GCUGCCCGCCCCUUUGACCUAGACAAUUAUACAAGUACCAACUGCCUGUGCCCAGCCACUGCCACUGGAGGAAAAUGCAACCCUGGCUCCUACUGUCCUGAGGGAAGCCCCGAACCCAUCCCUUGCCCCCCAGGCUCUUAUUGCAAUGCUUCUGGUCUGACCACUACCAGCGGAGAGUGCCAGGCCGGCUAUUACUGUGUAGAGGGUGCAACUGUCCCAGACCCAGAUGAUGGAGUGACCGGAGGCCCCUGUCCUGCAGGGACAUACUGCCCUGCUGGAUCUCACAGACCCAUCCCUUGCCCACCUGGGACAUUUUCCAGUAUCCAUGGGCAGGUAGCAAUUUCCAGUUGCCACCCCUGCCCAUCAGGCUUUUAUUGCAAAGACACUGGUCUCAAAGGCCCAAGUGGGCAGUGCCCAGCAGGUAAGAUGUGGAGAAUGAAUAGCCGACAUAUGAAACCAUGUCAGAUGAAAUGGGAGCUCUUUUUUUGAGGCUCCAUUUUUUUCUGUUUUGUUUUUGCUUGGCACACCACAACCAUGGGUGUCCCAUAGUGCACAGGAGAUCUCAAAGAGAAAAUGGCCUCCAAUAAAUGACCAAGUGAC
This 600-nucleotide long non-coding RNA is filed under the name Monodelphis domestica (gray short-tailed opossum). RNAcentral's name for it is "lncRNA (ENSMODG00000038738.1)". Lineage: Eukaryota; Metazoa; Chordata; Mammalia; Didelphimorphia; Didelphidae. The record is from RNAcentral.